CCGGCAUUUGAAAUGGCUAAGCUGAGCAGAAGUGAAAUCAUACCUGGAGAUCAUAUUUUCACUUACAAGAGCGGGAGCGGCCAUGAUCACGACCACCAUGGUAUUUAUGUUGCGGAGAAUCAGGUGAUACAUUUUACUUUACAACGCAAUCUUGUGCAAGCACAGUGUUUAACCCAUCUCUUCCGUGCGAUGAAUGCGGGUUUCAAUCGGGAUACGGAGUAGUGCUAUCCUGCUUAGAUUGCUUUCGUCUGGGAGGAGAUAUCUAUCGAUAUGAAUACGGAGUUUACGGAAAGAAAGGAGCCAGCACGACUUGGCCUUCAGAAUCCCCAGAAGUGGCAAUUAGCCGGGCAAUAAACUUGUGUAAAUACGGCUUUGGACGUUACGAUGAUCCGUCUAACUCUGAGAAUUUCGUUUUCUUCUGCAAGACUGAGCGGGUUUUAUCAAUUGAGAAAGAAACAAAUGGUGGAUAUAGUUUCCUUGGAAUAUCUGCUCUUGUUUUCUCUGCUGGUGCCUUAAUUAUUCGUGCAAUGAGGUGAUUGGUGAAGAAACCAUCCCCAACCAGUUAUGCAUCUACAAAUAGCGAACAUGUUUGCCAUAAUACCAUGUGAUAGCUUACAUAGUGGUUUUUGUUAGUAAUAAAUAAAGUUGCUCCAGCUUUAGUAACACCAUAAAUAUAUGUAUAUAUUUGUAGAAGAAAAUAGUUUGCCCUAUACCUUCUUAUAAAUAAAAGCAUAAAUUAAUAUAGAUUAAAUAAUGGAAGUUUAGAUAUAAAAAAUUAUAAUCUCUACAAGUUAUUUUAAGAUUUAUUUCAUUUAAUUGUUUGUUUUUCUUCUGUAAUUUAUUUGAUUGAUCUUCAACUCUUUUGUUGUCUUUACUUAUUUGAAUUUGAGGGCUAGUGGUAUCUAGAAAUAUCUUGGAAGGAUCAUUGUUGUGUCAAUAUAAGAUACAUUCUUCUUGAUUGAAUGUGUGUACAAGAAGAAGAAAAUCACUCAAAUCAAUCAUGUAUAUGCUCCUUAAAUAUUUGUGUCAAUGUAAAUUCCUUUUUCAAUUAAACUCUUGUAAUACAAAUGAUACAUAAGAAAUUCUUUGACUCUUCAAUAAUUAGGAGAUGUCUAAAGUGAAUGAAUUGAAUGCAUUUGAAAACAAGAACAUAGCAAUACAUUGUACAUAAAUAUAAUUGUGAUCCUAGUAAAGAAGAGUAUAGGAAAGAGAUGACUAAAUUUGAAAUAAACUUUUAAGUUUGAAAGGGUCAAAUCCAUGAUUAUAGAGUAAGGAAAUUGCAUAUAAAAAUGUGAAUACAAAGAUAGGAUGAGGGAUAAGUGCAUAGGAAUGUCUACAAUGGAUAGAUAGGUGAGAAAGUAAAGUGAGCCAACAUUAAGCAAAAUUAAGUCAUUGUCAAUAUAUGUAUGUAUUAACACACUCUCCUUAUAAUAGACCCUAAAAUAAAUGGAUAAUAACAUAAGUAUAUGAAUUUCACUAAUAAAUUAUUUUAUUAUCUUAUUUUCUCAUUCAUACCAUAGUAGAUGUGUAAUUCAUUAGGUUUGUCUAUAAGAAGAUUAUUUGGACCUUUUUUUAUAUAAGAAUACAUGCAUAGCCGGAAUGUGUGUAAAGUGUGAUGGAUAAUUAGAUGGCAUAAAUUAAGAUACUUAAUUUAAACAAAAUUGACUUUAUAUCAAAAUAUUCUCCUCUAAAUAAACUUAAAAUUACAAAUUAGGAUAAAAGAAUAUAUUAUAUAUUAUUUAUACCUAGUAGAGGAGCACCCGGGUUGACAAGCAAUCAACACAAAAAAAAAUAUUAAAAAAUUAGUUUCUAGUUUGAUUGUUUUUCCAGUUUUGUUUUCGUUUCCGGCUCUAGUUUCAGCUGGCAUAUCUUAUCAGUCUUUCAACAUUUCGCUAUUAUUUGAUCAAGCUCUACACCUCUUCAUGACGAUGAUAGAAUCAGAUAUGAAGUAUAAGUGACAAAGCCUUUGAAUUGUUCAAAGAAAUGUGGUCUUAUUUAAAGCAAUGAUUGGAAAAGUGUAAUUGGCUGGUGUAAAGUGAGUCUCCAAAAAAGUGGAAUUGGGCAUGGACAUCCAUCCAUUCUUUUUGUCAGAUGUUGAUGUUGUGACUGCCCUAAAAGACAUGUAUACAAAAUGUGGAAACCAUAGACAUGCAUGUGGACUGUUUGACAGAAUGCCUUAAGGGAAUUGCACGAUAUGCACAAAUUGAAUUUGUUGAUAAGGCUUUAAAAUCCUUGCAGCAAAUACGAUUGCCUACUGUAUAACCAAAUUCCUCAACCUCGCCAACAACCUCCCACCGUGCUUAGAAUGGGAACUUUGGAACAGAAUAUGGACAUGCAUCAACGUAGAAUAGAAUGGUGUUUUUUUUUUGGUCAGAUAUUAUAAUGGUCUGGUCAAUAUACAAAAUGCCUCAAAAAAGGAUGUACUCACAUGGAAUGCACAAGUGGAUUUGUUGAUUAGGCUGUAAACACCUUCAAGCAAUUGGCAGAUGUAAAGCCAAAUUUGCCAACCUUUGCUAACAUCCUCCAAACUCAUGCAAAAUGGGAGCUUUGAAAAAGGGUAUGGACAUCCACCAAUGCAUACUGAAAAUGCUUUAGAAACAUUUGAAUAUAAUGCAAUUGACAGGUAUGAAGAUUUGACAAAACUUAAAGGUCUUCAGUGUUUGACCGAUUCUAUUCCAAUAUUGGAAAAAUGGUAAUUAAUUCACAGCUGGCAAUUUUGUUUAUUUCUACAACCGACUACUUCAGAAAGAUCAGAUUUUCUUCUAUCCUUAUUCUCUAGCAGUGCAGAUCAAAUUUUGGUUUUGUCCUCUCUUCAACCGACUGCUCACUCAGGAAAAUCUGAUUGUUAUGUCAAAUCAUGGUUUAAUCCCUAUCUUCUUACUUGCCAUGUAGUGCUAGUUAAGUGUCUUGCUGUAGUUAUAAAUACAGAAGGCUAUCGUAAUUUGUUACACAUAGAAUAAAUAAAAAGAAGUAUUUUCCUCUUAUGUUCUAGCAUAGUGUAUGGUGCUGCUGUUUAGUUUUGCUCUAGUUUGCCAAAUUAAAUCCCCUGUUUUCUGCCAGUUGAAUCCUCUGUUUUCAAGCAUUGAGCUUCUUUUACAUUCUCUGUCUCCCAUAAAACCUUCAUCUAGUAUCAGAGCUUGGUUCAUUUUUCCUUCUGAUUCAAUUUUUUAUUGUCAUCAAUGGCUUUUUCUGGUGCAUCCUUUUCUAGUAUGCAGGCUCCCUUAUUUACGAGCAAAAAUUAUGAAUAUUGGUCAUUGACCAUGAAAGCUAUGUUUAGAGCAAAAGAUGUAUGGGAAAUAAUAGAGAAUGGCUAUACAAAACCUGUAAAUGUAGUAGCAUACAACACACUCACACAAGCUGAGAAAGACACUUUGAAUGAACAUAGGAGGAAAGAUGGUAAAGUCCUCUUUUACAUUAUCCAGGCAAUGCAUGAGAGUAUACUCCCAAGAGCAGCAGCAACAAAAAAAGAGCAAAGGAGGCAUGCCACACCUUGCAAGUGGCUUACCAAGGUACGACUGCACUUAAUGAUGAAAUGAUCAAUGUUGUAGUGGAUCUUGAGAAGGUUGAGGGCUCUUUUGAUUCAAGCCAUGGUUCUAUGGCCAUUUCUCUUUUAUUGAUAAUGUAUUCCCCAAUUUAUAUCAGUCAGAUGUUUCAACAAUGCAAUGCAUGAGCAAACAUGAUAUCUCAACUUAAUGACUAAGAAAAGGAUUUUUCGGGGGUUAUAAAACGCUUUCAUGUUACACAACAAAGUGGGGUCCCAACACUUGAAAUGGGCAAGCUUAGCAGAAGUGAGAUUGUAGCUGGGGAUCAUAUUUACAGUCCAAGGCCGCUCGGCUAUGACCAUCAUGGUAUUUAUGUUGGGGAGAAUCGGGUGACACAUUUUACAAGCUCCGCAUAAGGCACGUCUUGUGCGAGCUCGAGUGGUGUGUUUGGUCCGUGCUCUGCUUGCGGCUUCCAUAGCUGAAUGAGUGGAGCAGUGCCUAGGUGCCUACGAACUAAAUGGUGAGGCAUCCUUAUUAAUCCGGGAUUGGGUGCUUUAAUGCAUCGAUGCAUAUGGUUAUAAACAAAAUUAAACUUUUCGUCUAGGCUAAUUCAAUGAAGUAGUAUACAUGGAGGGCAUAGAGUAAUUUAGAUUAAACAAGUGUUUGCAGACUGUAUAAGGGUUGAGUUUAAUGGCUUAAAAAGUUGAUUUUUA
Long non-coding RNA from Cryptomeria japonica (Japanese cedar), 4195 nucleotides. RefSeq lists it as uncharacterized. The record is from RefSeq and is a predicted model, not a curated record. The transcript is spliced from 4 exons. Lineage: Eukaryota; Viridiplantae; Streptophyta; Pinopsida; Cupressales; Cupressaceae.